AAAGUGGAGCAAUCCAUGAGUACAGUGGCGUACGGGUGAGUAACACGUGGGUGAUCUACCUUUUAGUGAGGAAUAACCGAGGGAAACUUCGGCUAAUACCGCAUAAGCCUGAGAAGGGAAAGUCGAAAGACGCUGAAAGAGGAGCCCGCGGCCGAUUAGCUAGUUGGUGAGGUAAGAGCCCACCAAGGCAGAGAUCGGUAGCCGGCCUGAGAGGGCACACGGCCACACUGGCACUGAAACACGGGCCAGACUCCUACGGGAGGCAGCAGUGGGGAAUCUUGCACAAUGGGGGAAACCCUGAUGCAGCGACGCCGCGUGAGCGAUGAAGCCCUUCGGGGUGUAAAGCUCUUUCGUCAGGGAAGAUAGUGACGGUACCUGGAGAAGCAGCUGCGGCUAACUACGUGCCAGCAGCCGCGGUAAUACGUAGGCAGCAAGCGUUGUUCGGAGUUACUGGGCGUAAAGGGUGUGUAGGCGGUUCUUUAAGUUUGCUGUGAAAUCUCCCGGCUUAACCGGGAGGGUGCGGUGAAUACUGAGGGACUAGAGUACGGGAGAGGAAAGUGGAAUUCCUGGUGUAGCGGUGAAAUGCGUAGAUAUCAGGAGGAACACCGGUGGUGUAGACGGCUUUCUGGACCGACACUGACGCUGAGACACGAAAGCGUGGGUAGCAAACAGGAUUAGAUACCCUGGUAGUCCACGCCCUAAACGAUGCAUAUUUGGUGUGGGCAGUUCAUUCUGUCCGUGCCGGAGCUAACGCGUUAAAUAUGCCGCCUGGGGAGUACAGUCGCAAGGCUGAAACUC
Molecule: ribosomal RNA, 798 nt
Filed under: uncultured Bacillota bacterium
Lineage: Bacteria; Bacillati; Bacillota
Description: bacterial SSU rRNA
Rfam family: Bacterial small subunit ribosomal RNA
Source: RNAcentral